UAACGUUAAUUAUGAAUUAGUAUAAAAUUUACAAUUAAUUCAAACAACUGUCUACGGCCAUACCUAGGCGAAAACACCAGUUCCCGUCCGAUCACUGCAGUUAAGCGUCUGAGGGCCUCGUUAGUACUAUGGUUGGAGACAACAUGGGAAUCCGGGGUGCUGUAGGCUUCUUUUUAUUCUUUUUGCGAUUUUAUUUUUUAAUUUUAUUGUUUACAAAGAGAUUAUAAGCCUUAUGCUUUGU
Non-coding RNA from Schizosaccharomyces pombe (fission yeast), 241 nucleotides. The record is from the annotation of a GenBank genome assembly. NCBI's taxonomy places the organism in Eukaryota, Fungi, Ascomycota, Schizosaccharomycetes, Schizosaccharomycetales, Schizosaccharomycetaceae.